Molecule: ribosomal RNA, 255 nt
Filed under: Vibrio parahaemolyticus
Lineage: Bacteria; Pseudomonadati; Pseudomonadota; Gammaproteobacteria; Vibrionales; Vibrionaceae
Description: partial 23S ribosomal RNA
Rfam family: Bacterial large subunit ribosomal RNA
Source: RNAcentral
GUACCCCAAACCGACACAGGUGGUCGGGUAGAGAAUACCAAGGCGCUUGAGAGAACUCGGGUGAAGGAACUAGGCAAAAUGGUACCGUAACUUCGGGAGAAGGUACGCUCUUGAUGGUGAAGUCCCUCGCGGAUGGAGCUGACGAGAGUCGCAGAUACCAGGUGGCUGCAACUGUUUAUUAAAAACACAGCACUGUGCAAAAUCGUAAGAUGACGUAUACGGUGUGACGCCUGCCCGGUGCCGGAAGGUUAAUUG